GGCGGGAAAGGGGAGCGCCUCCGACUUCCAGCCGAGGGUCUGUGGGCCUCGGAAGAACGUCGAAAGUUGCCACCAAUCCUGAACUUCCACAACUGCCUGACUCCCAAACUUCUGAGUUUGAGCUAAGUCUAGACCUCCCAUGACAGCACUGCUGCCUUUCUAGUUUCCCUCUCUGCAGCUGCCCUGAGAAUGAUUGGAAGAAAUCAGAGAGGAGGAGACAAGAGAUUGCCAAGGUAGUAUUUUGUAGUACAAAAAUGGGGCAACGUGAAACUAUAAGAAUUUCAGAUACUUUAACUAAGAUUUGGAGUAAGAGGAAAAUGUCCAAAUCAAAAUGAUCCAAGAGUAAAUUUAAUUUUCAUGUGUCUGAAAUGUGUUGUGGAGUUAAAAUUCAUAUAAUAUAUUUGCUCCUACGUAGGAACAGAUAUUGGAGUACAAUCCCACACCUGCUGCUUAUAUUGCUUUUAGCUCCUGGUUGAGCUAGGUUCAAUAACCUACCUCAAUAGCAAUUCUUCAGGGUGCAGAAAAACAUAAGGAUCAAAAGAAUUUAUUUUAAACACCAGUUUUAUUACCAAAGGCAGAAUUUAUCUUAUUAGAAGGAAAGCCACAAUCCUAAAGAGGGUCAUUUGUCUUCUUACACAGAAAUAAACAACUAGCAAAACUGUAUGUUAAGUCCUACAGACUUCCUAAGCUAUCAGGGAAGGCCAC
Molecule: long non-coding RNA, 705 nt
Organism: Marmota monax (woodchuck)
Lineage: Eukaryota; Metazoa; Chordata; Mammalia; Rodentia; Sciuridae
Exons: 3
Source: RefSeq, a predicted model, not a curated record